RNAcentral lists this ribosomal RNA (253 nucleotides) under uncultured bacterium. Its description in RNAcentral is "partial 16S ribosomal RNA". It matches the Rfam family "Bacterial small subunit ribosomal RNA", at positions 524 to 776 of the family's 1533-position model. The record is from RNAcentral.
GACGUAGGGCGCGAGCGUUGUCCGGAUUUAUUGGGCGUAAAGAGCUCGUAGGCGGCUUGUUGCGUUGACUGUGAAAACCCGCGGCUUAACUGCGGGCUUGCAGUUGAUACGGGCAGGCUAGAGUUCGGUAGGGGAGACUGGAAUUCCUGGUGUAGCGGUGAAAUGCGCAGAUAUCAGGAGGAACACCGGUGGCGAAGGCGGGUCUCUGGGCAGUAACUGACGCUGAGGAGCGAAAGCGUGGGGAGCGAACAGG